CAAUAGCGUAUAUUAAAGUUGUUGCAGUUAAAAAGCUCGUAGUUGGAUUUCUGGCGAGGCUUGGUCGGUCGGCGCUUAGCGUGUGAACCGUGUCGAGCCUUGCCAUCCUGAGGAAGAACCUUGUUGGCAUUAAGUUGUCGACUUGGGUACUCCUCUCGUUUACUGUGAAAAAUUAGAGUGUUCAAAGCAGGCUUAUGCCGUUGAAUAGUCCAGCAUGGAAUAAUAAGAUAGGACCUCGGUGCUAUUUUGUUGGUUUGCGCACCAAGGUAAUGAUUAAUAGGGACAGUUGGGGGCAUUAGUAUUUAAUUGUCAGAGGUGAAAUUCUUGGAUUUAUUAAAGACUAACGUAUGCGAAAGCAUUUGCCAAGGAUGUUUUCAUUAAUCAAGAACGAAAGAUAGGGGAUCAAAGACGAUUAGAUACCGU
Molecule: ribosomal RNA, 423 nt
Filed under: uncultured eukaryote
Lineage: Eukaryota
Description: bacterial SSU rRNA
Rfam family: Eukaryotic small subunit ribosomal RNA
Source: RNAcentral